Molecule: ribosomal RNA, 253 nt
Filed under: uncultured bacterium
Lineage: Bacteria
Description: partial 16S ribosomal RNA
Rfam family: Bacterial small subunit ribosomal RNA
Source: RNAcentral
UACGUAGGUGGCAAGCGUUGUCCGGAUUUACUGGGUGUAAAGGGCGUGCAGCCGGGAGUGCAAGUUAGAUGUGAAAUCCCGCGGCUCAACCGCGGAACUGCAUUUGAAACUGUGCUUCUUGAGUGCUGGAGAGGCAGACGGAAUUCCUAGUGUAGCGGUGAAAUGCGUAGAUAUUAGGAGGAACACCAGUGGCGAAGGCGGUCUGCUGGACAGUAACUGACGGUGAGGCGCGAAAGCGUGGGGAGCAAACAGG